RNAcentral lists this ribosomal RNA (515 nucleotides) under uncultured bacterium. RNAcentral describes it as "partial 16S ribosomal RNA". It matches the Rfam family "Bacterial small subunit ribosomal RNA", at positions 28 to 523 of the family's 1533-position model. The record is from RNAcentral.
GAUGAACGCUGGCGGCGUGCCUAAUACAUGCAAGUCGAGCGAAUGGAUUGAGAGCUUGCUCUUAUGAAGUUAGCGGCGGACGGGUGAGUAACACGUGGGUAACCUGCCCAUAAGACUGGGAUAACUCCGGGAAACCGGGGCUAAUACCGGAUAACAUUUUGAACCGCAUGGUUCGAAAUUGAAAGGCGGCUUCGGCUGUCACUUAUGGAUGGACCCGGGUCGCAUUAGCUAGUUGGUGAGGUAACGGCUCACCAAGGGAACGAUGCGUAGCCGACCUGAGAGGGUGAUCGGCCACACUGGGACUGAGACACGGCCCAGAAUCCUACGGGAGGCAGCAGUAGGGAAUCUUCCGCAAUGGACGAAAGGCUGACGGAGCAACGCCGCGUGAGUGAUGAAGGCUUUCGGGUCGUAAAACUCUGUUGUUAGGGAAGAACAAGUGCUAGUUGAAUAAGCUGGCACCUUGACGGUACCUAACCAGAAAGCCACGGCUAACUACGUGCCAGCAGCCGCGGUAA